RNAcentral lists this ribosomal RNA (342 nucleotides) under Triticum aestivum (bread wheat). Its description in RNAcentral is "partial small subunit ribosomal RNA". The record is from RNAcentral. Lineage: Eukaryota; Viridiplantae; Streptophyta; Magnoliopsida; Poales; Poaceae.
AUGGGGGAUCUCAUCGUUUACCUCACCGGAGGGAGUGAUAGGGGAUGGGGUGGACGAUUUUUGGCGCUGUGGUCGAGGAAGCUUCCUCCGUCUCCGGCGGCGCGUGGUGGCGCGUGGUGGCCACGGCGUAUUGACGGCGGGGAAAGCUGGGGGCCACGGCGGUGGCGGCGGGAUGUUGGGGCCGCGGUGUCUCCGACUGAGGCAUGGCGGGGCAGCGGCGGUGUCUCCGGUUGGAGCGGGGGCGGCCACCGCGUCUCCGGUUGGGGGCUUGGUGGCGGCGGCGCCGGCGCCGCUGGUUGGGGACGGGGCGGCGAGCGGGAGGUGCGGGAGGUGGUGGGAUAG